Molecule: ribosomal RNA, 620 nt
Filed under: uncultured Ascomycota
Lineage: Eukaryota; Fungi; Ascomycota
Description: eukaryotic LSU rRNA
Rfam family: 5.8S ribosomal RNA (bases 245-398)
Source: RNAcentral
CUUGGUCAUUUAGAGGAAGUAAAAGUCGUAACAAGGUUUCCGUAGGUGAACCUGCGGAAGGAUCAUUACCGAGUUAGGGUCUUCCAGGCCCGACCUCCAACCCUUUGUUAACUAUACAAUGUUGCUUUGGUGGGCCCGCCUUUAGGGGCCGCCGGGGAUUUCUGCCCCUGGUCAGUGCCCGCCAGUAGCCUUCUAAAAUUCUUUCAUUAAAUGUGUCGUCUGAGUAUACUUAUAAAUCGUUAAAAACUUUCAACAACGGAUCUCUUGGUUCUGGCAUCGAUGAAGAACGCAGCGAAAUGCGAUAAGUAAUGCGAAUUGCAGAAUUCAGUGAGUCAUCGAAUCUUUGAACGCAUAUUGCGCCCUUUGGUAUUCCGAAGGGCAUGCCUGUUCGAGCGUCAUUAUCAACCAUCAAGCCUGGCUUGUUGUUGGACUUUACUGCUGAAAUAUGUGGCAGGUCCGAAAAAUAAUGACUGUGUCGUGUUUGACCCUAAAUGCAACGAGCUUUUUGUAAGCACGCAUUGAAGUGGUUAACCGGCCUAGUCUUAACCAUCAUUUUCUAAGGUUGACCUCGGAUCAGGUAGGAAUACCCGCUGAACUUAAGCAUAUCAAUAAGCGGAGGA